This 255-nucleotide ribosomal RNA is filed under the name Triticum aestivum (bread wheat). RNAcentral's name for it is "partial small subunit ribosomal RNA". The record is from RNAcentral. Lineage: Eukaryota; Viridiplantae; Streptophyta; Magnoliopsida; Poales; Poaceae.
AUGUCAACAGUUGAUGCAUCAGAUGGACGCCAAGUGAUUGAUAUUAUACCUCCCGGACCAGUACUUCUUGUUUCAGAGGGGGAAUCCAUUAAGCUUGAUCAACCAUUAACAAGCAAUCCUAAUGUGGGAGGUUUUGGUCAGGUGGACGCAAAAAUCGUGCUUCAGGAUCCAUUACGUGUCCAAGGCCUUUUUUUCUUCUCCGCAUCCGUUAUUUUGGCACAAGUUUUUUUUGGUUCUAAAAAAGAAACAGUUUGA